RNAcentral lists this ribosomal RNA (263 nucleotides) under uncultured bacterium. RNAcentral's name for it is "partial 16S ribosomal RNA". It matches the Rfam family "Bacterial small subunit ribosomal RNA", at positions 338 to 615 of the family's 1533-position model. The record is from RNAcentral.
CCUACGGGACGCAGCAGUGGGGAAUAUUGGGCAAUGGGCGCAAGCCUGACCCAGCAACGCCGCGUGAAGGAAGAAGGCUUUCGGGUUGUAAACUUCUUUUCUUGGGGACGAAGAAAGUGACGGUACCUAAGGAAUAAGCCACGGCUAACUACGUGCCAGCAGCCGCGGUAAUACGUAGGUGGCAAGCGUUAUCCGGAUUUAUUGGGGGUAAAGGGCGUGUAGGCGGGAUUGCAAGUCAGAGGUGAAAACUACGGGUUCAACAU